Molecule: long non-coding RNA, 1602 nt
Filed under: Aquila chrysaetos chrysaetos
Lineage: Eukaryota; Metazoa; Chordata; Aves; Accipitriformes; Accipitridae
Description: lncRNA (ENSACCG00020001224.1)
Source: RNAcentral
CGAGGGCACAGGGACGUGCAGGGGCAGCUCCGGCACCCAGCUGCCUCGGUCCCCCCACGCAGGAGCUGCCUGGCCGCCCGUGACCCCUACUGCGUCUGGCUGCCCCCCAGGGGCUGCGUCCCCUUCUCCGAGGACCUUCCGUAAGUGUCCCCCGCAGUGGCCUUCCCUGGGGGUUACCCCCCCCCCCCAGUCUCCUGGGUCCCUUCCUCGUGGGGUGGGGACACAGGAUGGUGGGUGACAUUCCACCCGUGUCCCCCAGGAGUGGCUUCGAGCAGGACGUAGAGGGAUCCCCCGGGAUCACUGGGACUUGCCAAGAUGCACCGGCUGCGGGGGACGGUGACGGGGACUUGGCCCAUGGGGUGCGUCAGGCCGAGCCGGGGGCUGCAGCGACGGUGCCGGUGCCAGUGCUGGUGGGCUGCGUGCUGGGUGCCUUCACCCUGGGUGCCCUGGCCGCUGGGCUGCUGGCGGCCUGCUACCGUCGCCCUGCUGUCCCCAAGAGACCCCCGGAGUCCCCCGCCACCCCACGGCCCCUGGCCCAGCCACCUGCCCCCUGCCUCUACCCCCCGCUGCCGCCCCAGGGAGGGGCUGGAGGCCUGCGGGACGCCCCCGAGCUUCCCACCCCUGAGGCCACCCCGCAGCCACCCACCAAGAUGCCCCAGGAGCGGGUGGCAGAACACCAACGCGGCCAGGCCACCUAUCUCGGCACCCCAGGUUGCCCGGAGCCCCCUGGCCCGGGACCCCCACCCAAGGCCACCCUGGAGGAGCUGCUGCAGCGGCUGCACGGGACGGGGGGCUCGGGGUGGCCGGUGACACCCCCGGCCGCCAGCUCCUUUGCCAACCGGGUACAGCCGGGCGCCCCGUUCCCCAGCCUCCCCCCGGCUCCCCAUAACGGGGCACCCCGGCGGCUGGACGUGCCCCCCGACAGCCCCCCGCCACCCAGGCGACCCCUGGCACAAAGACACUCGCUGGGCGGGACGCCCGCGAGACCACCCGGCCUGGCCCGGGGGCUUACCCGCAUGCACUCACUAGGGGCACCGGGGGGGCCACCCUGGGGCCCCCGGCCCAGCACCCUGGAGCGCUCCCUCUCCAUGAAGCCCCCCAUGCUGCCCAAGCCCCUGCUGGUGCCGGCAGCCCCCGGGCAGCCCUGAGCCCCCCACCGGGGACACGGGGACACCCCUGCUGCAGCUGGCACGGGGGGCCCGAGCCAUCCUCCACCCUGGGUGGCAAGGUCCCCCCUUCCCUGGCUCCAUGCCCUGAGCCACGAGGGUCCCCAUAUCCCCAAACUGCCCCCAUCUCUCUCCCUUGGGUGGUGAGGGUCCCAUGUGCCCCUCCAACCCUGCCCUGUCUCCCUGCCCAGGGUGACAGGAUCCCCCAGCUCCCAGGGCUUUUUCAUUUUUUGAUCCUUUCUAAUUUAUUCGCUGCUUUGGGGGUCAUUGGAGGUGCCGUUGCCCACCCUGAUGGCGACAGCCCCCCCCGCCCCGGGGACACCAGGAAGGGUGUCGGACACAGCAGCUCUCCGCACCAGAGCUUGGUUCAUCCUACCGUGUAGGACCAGGGCUCGGCCCUGUGCCAGCCGCGGCAAUUAAAUACAUGGUCGCUCCU